CAGAGUUGCAAAACUCCCACAAACCAUCGCGAAUCCUACCCGUACGGUUGCCUCGGCGCUGGCGGUCCGGAAGGCCCUCGGGCCCCCGGAUCCUCGGGUCUCCCGCUCGCGGGAGGCUGCCCGCCGGAGUGCCGAAACUAAACUCUUGAUAUCUUAUGUCUCUCUGAGUACACUUUUAAAUAAGUCA
RNAcentral lists this unclassified non-coding RNA (187 nucleotides) under soil metagenome. RNAcentral describes it as "partial internal transcribed spacer 1". The record is from RNAcentral.